Molecule: long non-coding RNA, 5746 nt
Organism: Hemicordylus capensis (graceful crag lizard)
Lineage: Eukaryota; Metazoa; Chordata; Lepidosauria; Squamata; Cordylidae
Exons: 2
Source: RefSeq, a predicted model, not a curated record
CUUCUGCUGCUGGUGGCUUUGAGUGCCAUUCCCACCUAAUCCUCUGGAUUGGUCCUUCUGUUUUGAUUUUUCCAGGCCUUUUCCCUUAUUAGGAAAGGCCCACCCGCCCAGCAGUUGCUCUAAGUGAGGCCUAGUCCUCCCUCAGAUUCUUCCCAUAACUACAGCUUGACACAGCUUUUAAAGGCACAGGGAGGGAAGGGAGAGACAUCUGAAUGGUCUGAGGAAGAUUCCACACCAGCUUCCAUUUGUUCUGGUUUGUCUCUAAAACCCAGUAAUUCCACCUCCUUGACUUCUUUACUUUCCCAAUAUAUGUCUUCUUCUUUGGAUCAGUGAAUACAGAGGUGGAGCUAGGUAAUUUUGGACCCUGGACCAAAUCGGGGGACCCCUUGCAAGAUCAUCCUCUUGACCCAUCCUCUGGGUGUGCACAGCUACUGGUAAGCACUACUUUAAUUUGCUUGGCUAGGCUGAACAGAACUGGGAGGGGCUAUCCUCUUAAAGACUUUGCCUAAUUGAUUUGUCCUGCCUCUGGAGCAUGUGGGAAGGAGAUCUCCUUAACUCCAGCAGCAGGAAGAAGCCUUCAUGGUGAGUGACCAACAAUCCAAUUUCACAAAUUUUUCAAACAAGAUGAACAUUUCAUGUUGAAAUUAAGAAUUUGAUCUCAAAAAUUGACCUCAAAGUGGUAAUGUGAUUAUACUGGAAUACAGAAACUCUUUAAACCUUUUCAGAAAUCUCUAUUCAUCUGAGCAUGUUGCGGGGUGGGGGUGGGGGGAGAGUGCAUGUGCUUCUACUCUUCUGACCCCGACAUGUUCUGCUGAAGAAAUUAAUCAAGAUUACAAGGAUAUAACUAUAUGUGCAUUCAGCUCUCUCUGCAUUAUCAGGAACUUUCCUGAACACAAAGAGCUAUAUUAUAUAUAUUUAUCAAGUUGAAUGCAUGAUGGUUGGAAGGGUACACCAUAUGUGAUCCUACUUCUCCCCACCAUGUUCAUCUGAUGAACUGAAUUAUGCUUAAUUUGGACCAAUGUUGUCAUCUGUAAAUGGGAACAUUUCCUGGUUGUUUCACAUUGGUUUUGUGACCUUGUCUCUCUAUCCAUGUCUUUUCUGCCUGGUAGAUUGAGUAAGUUCUCCUGAUGAUGAAUGUUCCUAAGACAUUGCUGGAGAGAGAUAUGUGAACUUGUCAGGUUUGGCAUUUUAAUACAAUAAUACAAUACUUCUAGUUGCUGAACAGAUGAGCACCUGAUUCAUCACUUGUUGAAUCUAACUGGUAUGUCUCUUACUCAAGUCCUUGAGCACCUGAUUCAUUACUUGUUGAAUCUAACUGGUACGUCUCUUGCUCAAGGAACUUAUACCCUCUGUAUUAUUCUUAAUCCCAGAUUCGAAAGGCUGGUAUUGGUUAAUCAAUGAUAAGGAGGAUCCAUUCUUAGUCUGUGCACAUGCUUUCCCCGCUUCACGUUCCUGAGUUUAGUCUAGGAACUGAAAAUUGAGCAUGUUUCUUCAGCUUGUUACCAAGGGGGUGAGUGGAAAGAGGCUGCUGCUGGUUACUGGUGGCAUUGUCUGAGAUGGGUCAUUCAGUCUAGCAAGUCUUUGAGGCAGAGACAAAUGUGGAUCAUGGGAUAUCUCAUGGGAUAUCUCAUGGGAUAUCUUCACUGGAGCAAGCCAUGGGAACAGCACAAUCAGCAUUCUUGUGCUGAUGCCACCAACGAUUUGAACCAGGAGAAGUCUGUUCGUAAGCAGAGGCCACUGUUGGCUGUCAAAAAUGGUGAGAAAUGCCAUUGGAAGUAAAAUGCUGAGAAUAUGAUGAAUAUUUAUAUGAUGUUCUUCAACAAAAGUUCCCAAAGCAGUUUAUAUAGUUAUUUAUAAACAAGUAAAGAUGGUCCAUGUCCCCAAAGGGCUCCCAAUCUAAAAAAGAAACAUAAGAUACCAACAGCAGCUACUGGAGGGAUGCUGUGCUGGGGAUGGAUAGGGCUAGUUGUUCUUCCUCUGCUCACUAAAGAGAAUCACCACUUUUAAAAGGUGCCUCUUUGUUCAAUUAGCAGACUGAACAUCAAGAUACUAAAUAUUCAACAGAUAUCCAGUAUCAGAACCUGAAGUGACCAAUUCUGAGGAGGAACUAAUUUAAUCUGUAUCAGUGAUGGAUUGGCAAUUUGCUUAAUUGCUCAUUUGAUCUUGUAGUUCAAAAGCUGAUCUCAGUAUUUAACUGAAAUCUACAUGCCCAGAACUUAAAACCAUCUCUCUCUCUUUUUAACUUUAAGUUCUAUCUCUUUUAUUCUCUCUCUCUCUCACACACACACACACACACACACACACACACACACACACACACCCUUUGGAAAAAUGUAAAUUGUUUCUUUUUUACAUCAGAUAAAUCAGUUUUAAUAUAAUUUUAAUUCAUUUCUAUAAUUGUCUUCUCUUAACAUGCAAUCUGUGAAGUGUAGAUUUGAAAAGUUAGUAGAUUUGUAUGAGAUUUCUCAAUGUCGAUUCCAACUUAACAAAUUCAUAAACCUGUAUAGAAAGUAAGUAGUUUAGCUGUAAAAAAAAACCAUAUGCUUUUGUGUACAGAUAGAAGCACGUGGCUUUGGAAUGACAUCAUAGGGACCAGGUGAGUGCUUUCAUCACAGGAGCUGUCAGACGGUCCUUAUGUCACAGGAAAUGGUCAGAGGAGGGGCUUACAUGACUGGAAAUGGUCAGAGGAGAGCCCUACAUCACCAGAAACAGUCAGAAGCAGGGGUGCGCCCUUGCCCCAGAUGGUCUGUCCUCCAACCCUCUAUUUUACCUCAGAAUAUGCCCAGGCAUGCCCUGAAGGUGGGCAUGCAACCCCUCUACAAAUACGCCUCUCCAUCUUGGACCAAUAGGGACAGGUUUCAUAGCCUGGAAAGGCCUGACAGUGCAGGCAUGAUAAUGGGGAUGGGGGGGCAUUCUGUGUAACUUUAUUGGCUGAAAUGGAGCCAAGUAACCCCUCUAAGUACAAACCCUGUGGCCGUAUGUUUAGAGGUGGCCAUUUUACAGUUCUGCAGAGACCAUAGAAGAUGCUAGGACUCCACUGUGGCCUGUGGGGCUAUCUUUGCCACAGACGCACAGAACAUUAAGCCUAUGACUCCAAAGAGUAUGUUGUACCCUCCAGCAGGACUGAAAACUCACCAGAUGAUUGUUUUUACCCUGGGCCAGGUUCCGGAUCCAGAAACAAACUUUGCAGUAUGACGAACUAGAAUGUGAUUGUGGAUGCUGUAACAUCAUCCCUGCUUCUGCUGUGGAAAUUGAAGCCAGAAAGCCUCCAGCUACUGUCCCAAAAAGCAGAAGCUUGGGUUCAUCAGAUGCUGAAGCAGAAGCUCCUGUGAAACAAAAGCUGCAUAGGAUAAAAUGGGUGAAGUUUAGGCCCCGGUAUGAUUAGUGUGAUGUCAACUGUUGCCCAAAUUCUGGUAAGCUUGGGGAGGCAUGUGCCAUCAGGGGAACGUUUCUGAGGAUGAGUGUGGCUGUGUUUCUUUUUUGUCAAGCAGGUGCAGGGAUACACUGUGUGAGAAUAAGUGCUGCAGGUCUAGUGAAGAUUGAUCACCGUUUGAUUGCCUGACAAAAUAUAUAGAUCCCCCAAGCAAUUGAUGUUUAUCUGCCAGAAGCAAAGCGGAGAGGAGCACAUUCAUAUUUGAGAGAGGAUACAGAGAAGACAAUUGUGCAUAACUGUUAAUAAGUUGAUUAAAGAAAAAAUGGGUGACAUCUAGACCAACAAAGUACAUGUGCAGCAAAGGAAGCACACAUGUAGCAUUCUGUGUCCCAGACUAAUAUGAAACUAUGUCUGUGAGGGUCAUGCAGCCCUGUAUACGGUAAAUAUGUCCAGCAUACAUCUUCCCUCUCCAUUCACUGAGAAGGAGGAUGGGAGAAUUGGCAGCUCAUCUGUCUGCCGCCAGUGAAUGCACCUCCUCCUCAUUUGCUGGUAACCUUGGGAAGGCAUGUGCCAUCAGGGGAACAUGGGGGGUUGUGCUUUUGCGGAAGACAUAGGGAAGACACACCAUUGGUGGGCUCAGUGUAGGGCUUUCCCCAGGGCCUUCUUGCAGUCUGGCACUGGUACUUCAGGGAUCUGUUGGGAGACGGGGUUGUGGGGCUGGAGGAGACAUGGAAACUUAUCCCUUUAUUGGGGAGAGCCCAAUUUGCCCAUUGUGCAUCUUGACUUGGGGGAAAUGGUGCCCCUGAUGGGGGCAUGUUGAGGCCGAACAGAGAGAAAUUCCCGUAAGCAUGGGCACCAGGACUGGGGCCUUGGAUUAUCUGCGGGGACUCUCACAAGAACAUGAGAUCUCAUUCCAGCCCGAGAUCUUGUGAGAAUUGCUGUGAUUGCCAAGAGCUAUAUAAAGUGGGACUGGUUGAUGAUAAGGAGCCAGUUCCCAAUGAGAGAGCAGGCUGGCAGGAGCUCUGUGAGUCAGCUAAAGAGCACACCUGGGAGGGGCAGUGAAUGAACUUAACCUCCAAAUAGGUGGCGCUCUUUACAACCUCUGAGGCUGAACAGACCACAGACAAAAAGGGGGCAGGAAAUGACCAGGGGGGCUAUGAGACUUGACAGGAACACUAUGUAUCCUUGGAUGCUUAGCAGGGGUUCUGUGAUGAAAAAAUCAAGAAUAGCAGUAAAGUUUCCCUAAAAGACAGCUUGUUCACAGAGGGUGUUGCAGAAGUCCAAGAGGUCUUCACUGUCUGAGGGCCCAUCAACAAAUAAUAAAGCUGUUCACAUGAGCAGCCCUACUGGGGUAGGAUUACUCAUGUGAAAUGCCAGGAUUGGGGCUGAUCCUGGUGCUGCUCCACCAGGUUGCUCAAGGUCUCCCCUCAGGCUUUUCCCCAGGCAGAAGAGCGCAAGUGCGCCCUGCUCCCUAGAUCCACGUUUUUGUGUGUGCGCUCGGGGUUCCUGCAGCCCAAACACAUACAGAGCCAGGCGAUUAGAGCACCCAGCUGCAGGGGAAUCCAUGCUCUGGGCAUGGUGCAUUGAGGGAUGCCAGAGGACUUCCUCCUCCAGCUCCCUGCUCUGCCACUCACAGUGGUGCCACUUGGGUGCUGUGGCGAGUGGCAGCGCAAACUGGGGAGAGUGAUCAUGUGCAGGGAGGUAGGCAGGAGCCUGCCUCCCUGCCCAGCCUCACCAGAGAGGUUGUGUGCACGACCUCAUUGUCUUGUUUUAUACUAGUUUAAUUGUCAUUGCUUAUUUUAUAGAAUCCAAGCAACUGUAAUUUUGUAAGGUUGCUGAAAUCUUUUUGUUAAAUAUUCCUCAGCCCCUCAGAGCAAUACAGUUCAUGGGGAAAAGUCAAUGACUAUUAGUUGAGUUCAAGAUAUUACUUCCUCUACAUAACCCAGAAUCCUCUGCAAUACACAAUUUCUGUGGCAAAGUUGACAAACGAGUUGGUAUGGAAAGGUUUUUCUGAAGGGAGGAAGUGUAGUAAAACUUUGAAAACCACCAUGCUAACGCAAUCUCUUCCCCUUCUGACUGCUAUUUUUGCCUUGUAUCUGCUAAUGUAAAUAUCUAAAACUGUAAUUUUAAAAUCAAAGAAAAGAGCUAUGGAGGCACAACUAAAAGGAUAGAUUAUGAUGCUCUACAUAGCCCCUUCAAAAAGCAAUAUUGUAUGUGGUGUUUUGGGUGGUUUUUUGUUUUUGUUUUUUGUUUUUUGCUUGUGGAAAUCUACACCAAGGUGGAUAUUCAUUUGGGCCAUCAGCCACCUUCACAUGAGUGCACACAAUCAUGCUCAUGUUGGCAUCCCACAUUAAACCUAGAUUCAGAUGAUCA